CACCUUUCCGCUUUGGUAAUCAUAGGUUUGUUUUCAAAGUCUGUGUGUCUGUUUUUGUUGUGUAAAUAAGUUCAUUUGUGUCGCUUUUUUAGAUUCCACAAAUAAGUGCUAUCAUAUGAUAUUUGUCUUUGACUUAUGCUUCACUUAGUAUGAUUAUUUCUAUUUGCAUACAUAUUGGUGCAAAUGGCAUGAUCUCGUUUUUUUAUGGCUGAAUAAUAGUCCAUUGUGUAUAUAUAUACAUGUAUAUAUAUAUAUGUAUCUUAUCUUCUUUGUUCAUUGCCCUGUCUAUGGAGAUUUAGAUUUUUGAAACCAGAAUAUUUUUGGAUAGUUUUAGUGUUUGCUUAAAUAUUAGUGAAAAUCAGCCUCCCACAUUUUUCCAUUUAUUUUUUUUUUACCCAGAAGUGAUCAGCUUUCUGUCUAUACUAUGAAAACACUGAAUCUUCCUUUCAUUGUCCAUCUCUUGGAAUCAUGAAGUGUCCUUUUCCUUUCUGCGUCCCUUUCUUCCAGAGAAAACCUUUUCUGUCUCCUUUUGCCAUUACUCAUAACGUACAGUUUUCAAACCCCCAUCAUCCUUACCCUACCUCUCCCCCACUUCUCCUUUGACUAUACUUCAACUAGUCUGUGUCCCUCUUAAAAAGAGGUCUACCAAGUAUGGGAGGGACCCUAAUAUCCCUCAUCCUGGAGGGCUGGAGUAGUGUGACUAACGGUAAGGGCUUCAGAGCAGAUGAGAUCCAGGCACAAAUUCUACCCUUACUUAGCUCCCUUGAGGUUACUAAGCAGGUUCUCUAAGUCUCAGUUUUCUCAUCUGUGAAAUAAGAAUGGGAGGGAAGGAGUUCCUGUCUUGGCUCAGUGAUUAACAAAUCUGACUAGGAACCAUGAGGUUGCAGGUUCGAUCCCUGGCCUCGCUCAGUGGGUUAAGGAUCCGGUGUUGCCGUGAGCUGUGGUGUAGGUUACAGACACGGCUCGGAUCUGGCGUUGCUAUGGCUCUGGAAUAGGCUGGUGGCUACAGCUCCAAUUAGACCCUAGCCUGAGAACCUCCAUAUGCCACAGGAGUGGCCCUAGAAAAGGCCAAAAGACAAAACAACAACAACAACAAAAAAAAACAAACAAAAAACAAACAGACAAAAAGAAUGGGAGGGAAAAUGGUAAUCAAGUACAUAAACUACUUGGCUGAGUUUGAUCAUACCUCACUCCCCAUGAUUUCUUCCCAAUUGAGGUGGGUAUAAACCAGGAAAAAUUAUCAGCCUUAUCACUAGUAAAGCUGAACUAAAUCAGAAUAAAUGGUGCUGAUCCUAAAUGACCUUCCUAGUAGUUUUUCAUUUGUCUAGAUGGUGAAUUAAUUCCUAUAGUUAUUUUUUGUCCUAACUGCUCUUAAACCAGGUUAACCUAUUUUUCCUUCAUCUAUUGAUGAAGCAAAUAAUUAUAUAAAUCUAGUGUAAGAUUAUAUUAUACAUACCUGUGUUUCCUUUUAAAAUAUGGUUUAAUUAUUCUUGCAUGAUUUUCUUUUGGAAUUAAUUUUCUAUAGUUGAAGCAAUAGGGUAUCCCACCAAGAGUUUUUUCAUUUUUCAAUUCAGUAAGUUCACUUUUUAGAGUUCCUUUUAUGCCAUUUAAUACAAAUGUUGAUCAGUGAAUGGUCAAUAGCAGAAUUACAGUGUACAUCAUUGGCGUUUUGCUAUAUACAUUGAUUGCUUGAGUAAGACGUAAGUUAUGACUAAGCCUACUUCAUCUUAGUCCUGUUUCCUCAUCUUAUAAACAAGAAUAUUGUUAGAGAUACUACCAGAUCUCUGGUUUGAAUCAUAUUGCACUGUGUCCACAGCUUUGCCUUGCUAUGUCAGUAUAGUAUUCCUAUUUUUAAAGUCCCAUUCCUUAUCCAUAGGGUACCUGUGAAUACCAUAGUAUAUCUUAGCAAUCCUCCAGUGCUUGCUACAUCCUUUUCUAAAUGCUCAAGAAAAACAAUUUUGGAAGUUUGCAAGGAUCCAUAUCAAGCCAGUUUGUAGGUCUGAAAUCUACCUUGUGAACUUCAAAUCUACAAAGUUUUCUCCAUAUGCUAAGAAAUCAUUUAUAGGGGGCUAGAGACUCAGCUUCAUUAAAAUAUUGGGUGUUUACUUACUAUCAUUUUCCUUAUCUUGGGCUCCGGUUUUAUUUUAACCCUAUCUGUUUUACACUUUCCAGGGCAAAGAUGAUCCUUUUUUAUACCAUACCUGGAAAAAUGUAAUUCUGCUUCCUAUUAGCAUUUAACUAUUUGGCCCAAACAGUAGGUCAAACCUUUUUUUUUUUUUUUCCCGAACAUCUAGCCUCUUGAUACAUAGAUGGAAAAUCUUUCUGGUAGUUAUCUCUAACUUUAAGUACAAAGGUUUUUUUUUUUGUUUGUUUUUUUACCUUUGACUUUCAUGGCAAUAUUUGUACUACCCUUGUAUUUAUUUGUUAUAAGUCUUUUAUCAUCAUCACCUCACACCAAACCAAGAAAAGCAAAACCACAAAAGACCUAGGGUAUUUAUCAUGUUGCCAAAUUUCUCUUUUGGUAGAUAACUGUGACUAAUAGAUAUUAUUAUUGUUAUUAUUUUAUUCAAACUUAUUUCACUAUUAUGUCACACACAUUUAUUAAUCUCCAGAAAUGGAAUUAUAUCAAUAAGUUAUUUAACAUUGACUUUUAUGAAAUUUUAACAAAAUUUUACCUACAACUGUCCCAGUACUGUUUUAAUUUCUAAGAUAUUGUAGUCACUUUUUCAUGUAUUUGCAUUAUCAAUUUAUUUUUCAUUUUGCUGGUAAAACAGUAAAACUUGCACCAGCGGUUUCUUCCUUAUAAAAGGACAAUUUAUUAAAAAGAAAUUUAAUAAUUUAUAAAAUCUCAAAAUGGCAAAAUGAAGGUGUAUAUAACAUGGUAUGUUAUGCAAGCAUUAAGAUAUUUAUGAAAAGAUUUAAAUAAUGUAAUAUAGUAGUAUGAAUGAAAAUUAUGUACAGUUAUGUACUUGAAAAAGAUGAAGGUACCAAAAUAUUUAUUGGGUGAUUUAUGUGCUCUUAUCUUUAUGAUUAUUAAAUACAAUUACUUGAUUUUUUAAAAAAUAUUUUUAUUAUAGAAUCUAUAAAAUAAAUCCAUUAUCAUUGUAAAUGAAUUAAUCACAACCACACAUACUAAACUAUGAAGGUAUCUUCGUACUAACUAUUCUUUACUUUUAGUCUAUUCAAUGCCAACAUAGGUAACUAUGCUUAAGAGGUAGAAUGAUAAAUGAAAUUUUCAGUUUUGCUUAUGUUUGUUGCUUUAUUUAAGUUUUUACCAUCUCUCAAAUCAAAUUUGAUUAUUUGUAUUUUCCUGAAACACAUUACUUCUCAUCCUGCUUAUUUUUGUGUACAUGAUCUUUCUCUUUCUGAAUGUCUGUUUUCAACUCUGACUCCAUCUCUGUCUUUCUCUGCUUCUGUCACUAGCUCCCUCUUUGUAUUCCUCCAGCUCUCUCUGAGUGAUGAAAAUGGAUAGAUAGAUAGAAAGAUGCUUACAUGAUGUUCAGUACCAAUGCUCCACUUUUUUACCAGGUAUUUAUUACAUGCACAAAGUGCAGAGCUCUAGAGGCAUGUUCUAAUUCUAUGCCCCAGGCUAUUCAAGACACAUGUGGAUGAUACAUAUGAGAUGUUAUUAUUAAUAUGGAAAAACUUUAAGUUUUUUGAGCUUAUUACCCAUACUAUGCUAUGAGCAUAUACUUUUGUGUUUGCUGUUUUAACAACUGUUUCUGGGUCUCUAUCUUGCAUUCUCAUUAGAACUUCUAGACUUGUUCACCCUUCUUUCUCCUUCUCCCCUUUUCCUCUCCCCCUCCACUCCCCACUUCCUCUUUUGCCCUCCUCCUCUUCCUCAUCCUUCUUAUGGUUAAUAUUGUUGAUGCUUUUUGGUUUGCAAUUUCUCUUAGGCCCUUUUAUUCUUCCUCAGUUUUAAUUUGAGAUGUUUUGAUUGGUUUGGUCUCACCCCUCUUAAACAAGCUUUAUAUCCAUAGAAAGUGCAUUUUGUCUUGUCUGGUAGGCAGUUACCCUAAAGACUUAGAUCACUGUUUCUCAAAAACCAGUCAGUCUGAGUACCAACUUGCUCCCUUGGGUAUCAGCCUAACUUUUAUGAGACACCCACCCCAGAGCAACUGAGCACUGAUUGUUGGUGACAAGGCCCAGGAGUCUGCAUUUGAACAACUUUUGCAGGUGAUUAAUGUGUCCAACAAUGUUUGAGACCCAUUCCUCAAGAUUUGGUUCAGGAAACCAAAUCCCAUUCUGUAACAUCUUUUAGAUAGCCAACCCUGUCCUAUUUACUUUUCUCUCUCCCAUUUUCCUUCCCUCUCUCCUUCCUUCCCUCUUUCUUUCCCUCUGUCUACUUUCACAGGAUACUUCCCUGUCCACAAUCAGAAACCUGAGUUCAAGUGGAGAUAAAAUAUAAUUCCGGGGUCAACUCUAUCUAAAGAGGAUUUCGUAGACAGUAGAAAUGUAUCCCAGCUGUCUUAUGGUGUAAUUGCUUUAUUGUGAAUAAGUCGACACUUUAUUAAGAUAUAAAAUAUUGCACUGUGUGUCAAAACCCAUUCUAUAAAAAAAUUAUCUUCAUAACUAGUAGUGUCAUGAUUUCAGAGAACAACUUCCAUCGGUGUCAUUCUUUCUUUUUUUAAAUUUCUUCCGUUUCAGUUCCAGAAACUGUUAAUUCUACAUUAGGCAUCUAUUGUGUUAAUAAUUACAGGUUUUUUUAAAAAACAAUUUUAUAGAGAAAAACACAAAAAGUAAAAUUACAUAAAUAAUAUGAUAACUAUAUAAAAUAAGCAAGAGAAAAAAUGUACAGGAAAAAUUAGGAUAUAUUGACAAGUUAAUAAUAGUUGUCUCACUGAUGAACAAUUAAUUUUUUUCUUCUUCUUUCUCCUACUUUUUGGUAUUUAUAACUAUUCCUUACUGAAAAUAUCCUCAAAUGAAGAAAUCAACUUUAUUAUUUUAAUGGUCAUCUAAAUUCCAGAAUUAAAAGUAGGGUCAAAAAUUUUUCCUGUUUUUUUUUUUUUUAAACCCUAAAAAGAUGAUCUAAUUGGAUAGCCUACCUUUGGAAUUUGGAAAAUUUCUCACAAUUAAAUAAACUAAAUGUUGGUCUAUACACAAUUUUUUAAAAAGUAAUGCCAUUAUUUUGA
Molecule: long non-coding RNA, 5132 nt
Filed under: Sus scrofa (pig)
Lineage: Eukaryota; Metazoa; Chordata; Mammalia; Artiodactyla; Suidae
Description: lncRNA (ENSSSCG00000061063.1)
Source: RNAcentral